Neocloeon triangulifer is the source of this 415-nucleotide long non-coding RNA. RefSeq lists it as uncharacterized. NCBI's taxonomy places the organism in Eukaryota, Metazoa, Arthropoda, Insecta, Ephemeroptera, Baetidae. The transcript has 2 exons. The record is from RefSeq and is a predicted model, not a curated record.
AUUCUGAUUGAAUAUGUGAGUGCAAAAGGCGGUGUGCUGCACCGUCAGACGCAAAAUUGUUCUGCACUUGGUGAAGCACACGGCUUUGCACACGGCCCUAUACCAUGUAUAAAGAAGCGUUCUUUACAGACUUAGACAUUACAACAACAAACCGCUUUCUAUACAUCUGGGAAACCAUAGAACCAAAACAAACCUCAAGAUGCCCAAGCCUUGCUGCGACAAUUGCGCCCAGACCUGCCAGGGCGGAGCUGAUGGUUGCAAAUGCAGCGGUACCUGCGGUUGCAAGGGAGGCUGCAAAUGCUGUGCCGAGAAGAAAUGAAGACCAAAUAUGACUACUUUAUUUUUUACCAAAUUUAUAUGUUGUAUUUCAUACUUUUUAUCAAUAAUGAUUAAAAAAUAAAAAUUACCGUUUUAA